RNAcentral lists this ribosomal RNA (483 nucleotides) under uncultured bacterium. RNAcentral describes it as "partial 16S ribosomal RNA". It matches the Rfam family "Bacterial small subunit ribosomal RNA", at positions 28 to 523 of the family's 1533-position model. The record is from RNAcentral.
GAUGAACGCUGGCGGCGUGCCUAGUACAUGCAAGUCGAGCGAACCACUUCGGUGGUGAGCGGCGAACGGGUGAGUAACACGUAGGUGAUCUGCCCAUCAGGCGGGGACAACGAUUGGAAACGAUCGCUAAUACCGGAUAGGACGAAAGUUUAAAGGUGCUUCUGGCACCGCUGAUGGAUGAGCCUGCGGCGCAUUAGCUAGUUGGUAGGGUAAAGGCCUACCAAGGCGACGAUGCGUAGCCGACCUGAGAGGGUGAACGGCCACACUGGGACUGAGACACGGCCCAGACUACUACGGGAGGGAGCAGUAGGGAAUCUUCGGCAAUGGGCGAAAGCCUGACCGAGCAACGCCGCGUGAAUGAUGAAGGCCUUCGGGUUGUAAAAUUCUGUUAUAAGGGAAGAACGACUUUAGUAGGAAAUGGCUAGAGUGUGACGGUACCUUAUGAGAAAGCCACGGCUAACUACGUGCCAGCCGCCGCUGUAA